AUAUAUAUAUAGUUUUGAUAUAUGAAGUGUCAUGACUCGGAACACCCAUCGGGCCCAUGACAACCGCCGCGACGUCUUGAUAGGCAUUCAUUACCCGGAAUGCCGAUCGAAAUCCCGUAAGGCUUAGCAUCAGCUUCUGCAUCUCCCCGGUGAGCGAUAGUUAUUAAAUCUUGUAUUUCAAGAAAUCAUAAGUCAUUUCCAGAUCAAAAUAAUAUAAUAUUAUUUUCUAGCUCACAAGGGCAUUUUCGUCAUUUUUCUUCGAAAAUACCAAAACUUGCCAAAAACAUGGUGUGUGGGUGAAAAACACAUGUUUCAUAAUUAAAAGUAAAUUUAGAUGUCUAAAAUAAUUAUUUGAAAUGAAAUUAUAAUUAUUUGAAUAAAAUAUUCUAUUUUCUAAAUAAAAAAAUAAUAUUUAUAGAGAAAUCCGUAAUUUAAUUUUUGUAGUGUAAAAGCUAAAUAUAUUCAUACGUACUUUAAAGCAGAUAGCUGAAAUAUUAAAUUACUUUUACAGUGAUACGUGGGCCCUCAACUAACCAAUAAGGUGCGAGUUUGUGAACCUACAAUUUUGUCGAUGCAAGGCUAACUGAAGUGCUUGAUGCAAUCGGCUAUCUACCAGCUAUCCUGAGCCUGAAAUGUGGGGAAUUGAGGGUGGUGAGAUUAUAAAAUCCCAGUGAGUAAACAGAUACCAUCUAAACCAUCUAAAGUCGAGUAAAUGGAGACAAGUAAGAUAUUCCAUU
This 737-nucleotide long non-coding RNA is filed under the name Theobroma cacao (cacao). Its description in RNAcentral is "long non-coding RNA (TCAC_LNC001593)". Lineage: Eukaryota; Viridiplantae; Streptophyta; Magnoliopsida; Malvales; Malvaceae. The record is from RNAcentral.